UACGUAGGGUGCAAGCGUUGUCCGGAAUCAUUGGGCGUAAAGAGCGUGUAGGCGGUCCGGUAAGUCGGCUGUGAAAGUCCAGGGCUCAACCCUGGGAUGCUGGUCGAUACUGCCGGACUAGAGUUCGGAAGAGGCGAGUGGAAUUCCCGGUGUAGCGGUGAAAUGCGCAGAUAUCGGGAGGAACACCUAUGGCGAAGGCAGGUUACUGCCAAUAUAUUGACGCUGAUGGACGAAAGCGUGGGGAGCGAACAGG
RNAcentral lists this ribosomal RNA (253 nucleotides) under uncultured bacterium. RNAcentral's name for it is "partial 16S ribosomal RNA". It matches the Rfam family "Bacterial small subunit ribosomal RNA", at positions 524 to 776 of the family's 1533-position model. The record is from RNAcentral.